Molecule: long non-coding RNA, 633 nt
Organism: Nothoprocta perdicaria
Lineage: Eukaryota; Metazoa; Chordata; Aves; Tinamiformes; Tinamidae
Exons: 2
Source: RefSeq, a predicted model, not a curated record
CUGCGGUCGUAGAGGAGAUGAAGAUGGAGCAGGAAGGAAUUGUUCAUCAUCCUGAGCCGUGGAAGUCAGACGACACAUGGCUGAGACCUGUCAAACUCACCACCAUGUGCAGAGGCCCAGCUUGGUCCUCUGUCAGCGUGUUCCUGUGCCAAGCUGGACAGGCUCCUCAAGCCCUGAAGAAUUUUUGCCCUUUUGUCCUACUGUUAGCACUGACCAGCAGAGAAAGAACAUGACUGUGUUGGUGAAGUCUACAGUAGCCAAGCCAAAAAAGAAGAUUUUGUGGAGACUCUACUCCUGUUGCCGUUAGAUCCUGGAAGUGAUUCAUGGCGAACAUCAAGUAAUAUAAAAGCAAGUUCUUAAAUGCUGGUUACAGUUCAUCAUUGUCCAUAAAGGUCGCUUCCGAAAUGCCUGGCUACCCUGGACAUGGUAAGGAAAGGGCUUUCAUUAGGAAUGGAGCUCGUGAGCUAGCACUGCUAUCUGUAGAUUAUAAACCUCACUAGCUUUGCUGAAAUUGUAUCAAGUACCACUUUGGUGAUUGCUUGCCGGAAGGAUCAAUAAAAAUCUAUUUAAUAGGAAUAUACAACUUGUCUCAAAGCAGGUAGACAGACUUCUGGCUUUGGAUGGCACUAGAUA